GCCUUUAGCCACACAAGUAUUAAAGGUCCCGCCUGCCCAGUGAUAUAUUUUUAACGGCCGCGGUAUUCUAACCGUGCAAAGGUAGCGUAAUCACUUGUCUUCUAAAUAAAGACCAGUAUGAACGGCUAAAUGAGGGCAGACCUGUCUCCUAUAACAAAUCAGUGAAACUGAUCUACCAGUACAAAAGCUGGAAUAAACACAUAAGACGAGAAGACCCUGUGGAGCUUAAAAACAAACGGUCAACGAAUCAACUAGAACACCCCGCAAUGACCAAACGUUUUAAGUUGGGGCGACUUCGGAAAAAAACAAAACUUCCGAGAAAAAGGCCACUAACCUACCCCAAGGACUACAGCCCAAAGCACUAACACAAAAGACCCAGUCAAACUGAUUAACGAACCAAGUUACCCCAGGGAUAACAGCGCCAUCUUCUUCAAGAGUCCAUAUCGACAAGAAGGUUUACGACCUCGAUGUUGGAUCAGGACACCCAAAUGGUGCAGCAGCUAUUAAAGGUUCGUUUGUUCAACGAUUAACAGUCCUACGUGAUCUGAGUUCAGACCGGAGAAAUCC
RNAcentral lists this ribosomal RNA (567 nucleotides) under Acontias poecilus. Its description in RNAcentral is "partial 16S ribosomal RNA". It matches the Rfam family "Bacterial large subunit ribosomal RNA", at positions 1818 to 2627 of the family's 2925-position model. The record is from RNAcentral. Lineage: Eukaryota; Metazoa; Chordata; Lepidosauria; Squamata; Scincidae.